AACUUAUUUAAGUAGAAAAAAGAUGAAACAUAUAAAUAAAAUAUAGGAAAACAAUUCUCACUGGCAAAGGUAAACACUUAAUGAGCAGUAGAUUAACCCAUUAUAAAGGAAGUAUAAAGGUUAAGAGGCAAAUAGGAAAAUCAUGUGUAAUUAUAACAAUAAAUUAAGGAACACAGAAAAGUAAAAAAUAAUAAAUAUAUAAACAUGAAGGGGGUGAGUAAAAUAAAGUAGUGAUUUCAGAAUGUGCUGGAACUUAAGCAACGAUCACCUUAAAAUAGACUGAUAUCAAGAUAACUUGGUAUCUGUGAAGCACAUGGUAACCACAAACCAAAAUCUGUAAGAGAUAAACAAGAAAUAAGGAGAAGGCAUCCCAACACAACACUACAGAGAGUCAUCAACAUACAAGAGAAGGGAGCAAGAGAGUAAGAAAGGAACAGA
Phyllostomus discolor (pale spear-nosed bat) is the source of this 438-nucleotide long non-coding RNA. RefSeq lists it as uncharacterized. NCBI's taxonomy places the organism in Eukaryota, Metazoa, Chordata, Mammalia, Chiroptera, Phyllostomidae. The record is from RefSeq and is a predicted model, not a curated record. The transcript is spliced from 2 exons.